Passer domesticus (house sparrow) is the source of this 901-nucleotide long non-coding RNA. RefSeq lists it as uncharacterized. NCBI's taxonomy places the organism in Eukaryota, Metazoa, Chordata, Aves, Passeriformes, Passeridae. The record is from RefSeq and is a predicted model, not a curated record. The transcript has 3 exons.
CUCCAGCAUGUGUUCAAAUGGGCCCCAAAGUUGACUGUGUGCAAUGGACACUGCUCCAGCCUUCGGAAGGCUUCACAUCAGGCCAUAAACUGUGAGGAUUGAAAGACCACUCCUGAAGAAUUACUGGACUAGCAGAAAGAAAUCUGAUGCUAACAACUCUUGAAAGGACAAGAGCACAAAAGAGAAGUGGCCUAUCCAUCCCUGUAGUUCACGAUGAAUGAAAUGCCAAAGUACCACCACAUAUGUCAAAGGUAUUCCCUCCAGGACUGAUGUAAGGAAAGAACAAUCAACAACUACUGCUCCUACCCUGAAGUCAUGUCCACAAAGAGCCCCCUACGUGGUCCACAUGAGAUAAAGAAAGGCUGCCCCUGAACUGUGCACAGUCCGUCAGCUGAUUUACUGGCUGCUUUAAAUGCUCACUUGAAAAAUUUUAGUUGCACUGGUGAAAAGAUUUUCAUGGGACACCAAAAAAAUGCUAAAAUAAAAUUACACAGUUUAGGGAUGGAAAGUAAAUGGGGAUCAAAAUAUCUGGGAGGAAAAUAACCAAGUUCUGAAAUGAACACACUGUACAUUUUUUUUUCUUUUCCCUUCUUUUUUAUUUUAUCAACAUGGUGAAAUCUGAACAUUUUUUUUGAUGUUGACAAACCUGAGGUUUCCACUAAUAUGUGUUGAAAUUGACAUUUAUUGUCAUUCUUGUUGAAGGUACAAACCAGCUAACCUCUGUCAGUAGCUAAGCUCUAAUCUACCCCAUCCCCACUACAUUACGCAAGGUAUCUUGAACUUUUACCAAAAUCCUCUCAAAUUAGGGACACAAUGUUGAGGGACAAAACUCAGAACAGCAAUAUAGUAUAGAAAACCUCCAAGUAGAAAUGUUUUGCUUUUCUACCAAAGAACCAGAAGA